GAGUCAGCAGUUCAGGGUUGGAAGCUCAAGUAUCCAACUUCCAAGGUUGACGACUGUGCAGUGGUUUGCCUCUUUCUUGAUUCGAACUCAAAGGACUCAACUAUUUCGACAGCAAAAUCCAAGAAAAACGUUGCUGCAGAGGAUGAUUUCUACAAGAAAGAUAAUUCUCUUUAUACAAUCGGAUUUAACCGCUCUGGUACUGUUAGAACUAGUGAACANGCAGAGGAUGAUUUCUACAAGAAAGAUAAUUCUCUUUAUACAAUCGGAUUUAACCGCUCUGGUACUGUUAGAACUAGUGAACAAGUUCUUGGAGAAGAGAAUGAGGCUUCAGAUGCAAAUAAGGAGGAACUCUCCGACCUUGAAG
This 364-nucleotide long non-coding RNA is filed under the name Olea europaea (common olive). RNAcentral's name for it is "long non-coding RNA (OEUR_LNC008087)". Lineage: Eukaryota; Viridiplantae; Streptophyta; Magnoliopsida; Lamiales; Oleaceae. The record is from RNAcentral.